GACGAACGCUGGCGGCGUGCCUAAUACAUGCAAGUCGAGCGGAUGGAAGGAAGCUUGCUUCCUAAAGUCAGCGGCGGACGGGUGAGUAACACGUGGGCAACCUGCCCCUAAGAUCGGGAUAACUUCGGGAAACCGGAGCUAAUACCGGAUAUGAUUAUGUCUCACAUGAGACAUAAUGGAAAGACGGUUUCGGCUGUCACUUAGGGAUGGGCCCGCGGCGCAUUAGCUAGUUGGUGAGGUAACGGCUCACCAAGGCGACGAUGCGUAGCCGACCUGAGAGGGUGAUCGGCCACACUGGGACUGGGACACGGCCCAGACUCCUACGGGAGGCAGCAGUAGGGAAUCUUCCGCAAUGGACGAAAGUCUGACGGAGCAACGCCGCGUGAGUGAAGAAGGUUUUCGGAUCGUAAAACUCUGUUGUUAGGGAAGAACAAGUACCAUAGUAACUGAUGGUACCUUGACGGUACCUAACCAGAAAGCCACGGCUAACUACGUGCCAGCAGCCGCGGUAA
This 512-nucleotide ribosomal RNA is filed under the name uncultured bacterium. RNAcentral describes it as "partial 16S ribosomal RNA". It matches the Rfam family "Bacterial small subunit ribosomal RNA", at positions 28 to 523 of the family's 1533-position model. The record is from RNAcentral.